Molecule: ribosomal RNA, 253 nt
Filed under: uncultured bacterium
Lineage: Bacteria
Description: partial 16S ribosomal RNA
Rfam family: Bacterial small subunit ribosomal RNA
Source: RNAcentral
UACGUAGGGUGCAAGCGUUAAUCGGAAUUACUGGGCGUAAAGCGUGCGCAGGCGGUUAUGCAAGACAGGUGUGAAAUCCCCGGGCUUAACCUGGGAACCGCAUUUGUGACUGCAUAGCUGGAGUACGGCAGAGGGGGAUGGAAUUCCGCGUGUAGCAGUGAAAUGCGUAGAUAUGCGGAGGAACACCGAUGGCGAAGGCAGUCCCCUGGGCCUGUACUGACGCUCAUGCACGAAAGCGUGGGGAGCAAACAGG